GAUGAACGCUGGCGGCGUGCCUAAUACAUGCAAGUCGAGCGAACGGACGAGAAGCUUGCUUCUCUGAUGUUAGCGGCGGACGGGUGAGUAACACGUGGAUAACCUACCUAUAAGACUGGGAUAACUUCGGGAAACCGGAGCUAAUACCGGAUGAUAUUUUGAACCGCAUGGGUCAAAAGUGAAAGACGGUCUUGCUGUCACUUAUAGAUGGAUCCGCGCUGCAUUAGCUAGUUGGUAAGGUAACGGCUUACCAAGGCAACGAUGCAUAGCCGACCUGAGAGGGUGAUCGGCCACACUGGAACUGAGACACGGUCCAGACUCCUACGGGAGGCAGCAGUAGGGAAUCUUCCGCAAUGGGCGAAAGCCUGACGGAGCAACGCCGCGUGAGUGAUGAAGGUCUUCGGAUCGUAAAACUCUGUUAUUAGGGAAGAACAUAUGUGUAAGUAACUGUGCACAUCUUGACGGUACCUAAUCAGAAAGCCACGGCUAACUACGUG
Molecule: ribosomal RNA, 497 nt
Filed under: uncultured bacterium
Lineage: Bacteria
Description: partial 16S ribosomal RNA
Rfam family: Bacterial small subunit ribosomal RNA
Source: RNAcentral